UCAAGAGUCGGACACUUAACUGACUGAGCCACCGGAUGCUGCAACACAAGAGCAUUUUCUGACACGCCAAAAGCACAAGCCACAAGGAAAUUUGCCUCUGUCAAAAUAGAAAGUGAAUAACAACCAAAAAUACCAUGAGAACUGGCAAGGUGAUAAAGUACAAAAAGACACUGUGACUUACAUAUAAGAGUUAGUGUUGAGAAUAAUACAUACAAUUGAAAACCGGGCACAGGAUAUGAACAGAGUUCACAGGUGAUGAAGUGUGAAAAGCAAACAACGUUACUGGUAAUUAAGGAAAUGAAAACAAAACCACAGAGGCAUCAUUUUGGACCAGACUGGCAAAUGUCACGUAGAGGUGACAUCAGGAAAGCAAUGAAUCUCCUACAUUUUGUAUGUUGCUGGAGGGAUGUCAAACUAAUAAAACCACUUUAGAUAACAAUUUGGCAGAUACUAAAAAAGGUGAGGGUAUGUGUAGCCUGUGACCUCAAAUUCUAUUUCUAAGGAUCUACCUUAGAGAAACCGUUUUGUGUGUAUACGAGGCGACAAAUUAUAAGGGCAACUUAAUAAAGGAUUCCAGGAAAUUAAUAACCUAAAUGUCCAUUGGGAAAAGAAUGGUUAAUUACAGGGUGUGCAUGCAAUGAGAUAAUCAGCAGUUAAGGGGCGCCUGGCUGGCUCAGUCAGAAGAGCACGCAACUCUUGGUCUCGGGGUUGUGAGUUCGAGCCCCAUAUUGGGUGUAGAGGUUACUUAAAAGCUUAAAAAAUUUUUUCUUAAUGUGUGGCAGUGAAUACAGCAGAUGCAGGAGCUGUCUGCAUUCAUGUUAAUAAACGAAUUUCACUGA
Molecule: long non-coding RNA, 839 nt
Organism: Herpailurus yagouaroundi (jaguarundi)
Lineage: Eukaryota; Metazoa; Chordata; Mammalia; Carnivora; Felidae
Exons: 2
Source: RefSeq, a predicted model, not a curated record